Molecule: long non-coding RNA, 725 nt
Organism: Conger conger (European conger)
Lineage: Eukaryota; Metazoa; Chordata; Actinopteri; Anguilliformes; Congridae
Exons: 3
Source: RefSeq, a predicted model, not a curated record
UCAAAAUAUGAUAAUUUUCAGGUCUCAGCAACUAAAUACAUGCUGGCAUGCAGACAUAAUCAAGAGGUUCAGCUGUUUUUCAGACCAAGUAUGUGAUCUGCACAAUAGUGAAAGACACAAUAGCCUAUUCCUAAGUUUGUCCACCAAUCAGUGUCAUGUUAUUAUUAGAUUUAUAUUACCAGUUAGGUGAGUUGAGAACAGGUUCUCAUUUACAGUGAUGACCUGGCGUGUCAUUUUAAUGUCCCACUGUUGUGUCAUGAGAUGCACUCUGUGAUAUCUCUGUCUCUCUACCUCCUCAGAUCCCGAGGUUCUCCCUGUAAUGCGCGUGUUCCUCAGUCGCACAGGGACCGCUCUCUGUGAAUUGAAAGGCGGGGGUCAACACUGGAGUGAUCCUAAGUGGGAAACUGAUGAUGUCAAGCAAGGCCUGAAGUUGUUGCAGCCUGAAGCUGAAACUUUUCUAGAUGAGCACAGUGCAUUCAUACGGUCCUCCAUCCUCUCUUUGGAAGAAGGGGUCCGUGGUUUGAACUGUGUAUGUCAGCACAGCACCGGAGUUAUUAUCCGAACACGGGUCAUACAAGCUCGCAAGGAUCAAUGCCAGCUGCUGCUGUAUCUAUCUCCCUGGCUGCUGUGCUGCUGCUGGUGACUCUGACAGCCAGUGUGCUGUGGGCCUGGAGAAAGGGGAAACAGAGACCUACAGGGAAUGGACACCAAUGACAGGAUCUGAA